AUACGUAGGGGGCGAGCGUUGUCCGGAAUGAUUGGGCGUAAAGGGCGCGUAGGCGGCCCGGUAAAUCUGGAGUGAAAGUCCUGUUUUUAAGAUGGGAAUUGCUUUGGAUACUGUCGGGCUUGAGUGCAGGAGAGGUAAGUGGAAUUCCCAGUGUAGCGGUGAAAUGCGUAGAGAUUGGGAGGAACACCAGUGGCGAAGGCGACUUACUGGACUGUAACUGACGCUGAGGCGCGAAAGUGUGGGGAGCAAACAGGAUUAGAUACCCUGGUAGUCCACACUGUAAACGAUGAAUGCUAGGUGUAGGGGGUAUCGACCCCUUCUGUGCCGCAGUCAACACAAUAAGCAUUCCGCCUGGGGAGUACGGCCGCAAGGUUGAAACUCAAAGGAAUUGACGGGG
This 397-nucleotide ribosomal RNA is filed under the name uncultured bacterium. RNAcentral describes it as "partial 16S ribosomal RNA". It matches the Rfam family "Bacterial small subunit ribosomal RNA", at positions 523 to 918 of the family's 1533-position model. The record is from RNAcentral.